UUUACCGCGAGGUAAGCACUGAAGGAAGCGAGACUGCAAAAUCCGGUACCGACGAACAGAAACUACAUAUGAGGCUAUCAAGGUCGGGUAAGCAAGCACAUCUUUGUAAAGCCCAAAACUUCGUAAGAUGAGAGCCUUGUUAGUAGAUGUAGCGGGCAUCGGAGGAAAGAGGAUGUU
RNAcentral lists this non-coding RNA (177 nucleotides) under Sediminitomix flava. The record is from RNAcentral. Lineage: Bacteria; Pseudomonadati; Bacteroidota; Cytophagia; Cytophagales; Flammeovirgaceae.